AGCGAACGCUGGCGGCAGGCCUAACACAUGCAAGUCGAACGAACCUUUCGGGGUUAGUGGCGGACGGGUGAGUAACACGUGGGAACGUGCCUUUAGGUUCGGAAUAACUCAGGGAAACUUGUGCUAAUACCGAAUGUGCCCUUCGGGGGAAAGAUUAAUCGCCUUUAGAGCGGCCCGCGUCUGAUUAGCUAGUUGGUUGAGGUAAUGGCUCACCAAGGCGACGAUCAGUAGCUGGUCUGAGAGGAUGAUCAGCCACAUUGGGACUGAGACACGGCCCAAACUCCUACGGGAGGCAGCAGUGGGGAAUCUUGCGCAAUGGGCGAAAGCCUGACGCAGCCAGGCCGCGUGAAUGAUGAAGGUCUUAGGAUUGUAAAAUUCUUUCACCGGGGACGAUAAUGACGGUACCCGGAGAAGAAACCCCGGCUAACUUCGU
This 433-nucleotide ribosomal RNA is filed under the name uncultured bacterium. Its description in RNAcentral is "partial 16S ribosomal RNA". It matches the Rfam family "Bacterial small subunit ribosomal RNA", at positions 29 to 506 of the family's 1533-position model. The record is from RNAcentral.